GCGUUGUCCGAAAUCACUGGGCGUAAAGAGCUCGUAGGCGGUCUGUUAAGUCAGGGGUGAAGCCCCGGGGCUCAACCCCGGGCCUGCCUCUGAAACUGGGAGACUUGAGUACCCUAGAGGACAGUGGAAUUGCCGGUGUAGCAGUGAAAUGCGUAGAGAUCGGCAGGAACACCAGUGGCGAAGGCGACUGUCUGGGGGGAAACUGACGCUGAGGCGCGAAAGCUGGGGGAGCA
This 233-nucleotide ribosomal RNA is filed under the name uncultured bacterium. RNAcentral describes it as "partial 16S ribosomal RNA". It matches the Rfam family "Bacterial small subunit ribosomal RNA", at positions 538 to 770 of the family's 1533-position model. The record is from RNAcentral.